AGAGUUUGAUCCUGGCUCAGGAUGAACGCUAGCUACAGGCUUAACACAUGCAAGUCGAGGGGCAGCAUUAAGGAAGCUUGCUUAUUUAGAUGGCGACCGGCGCACGGGUGAGUAACGCGUAUCCAACCUGCCCCCUACCCGGGGAUAGCCUUGCGAAAGUAAGAUUAAUACCCGGUGCAGUUAUGAUUCCGCAUGGGAAUAUAACGAAAGAUUCAUCGGUAGGGGAUGGGGAUGCGUCCGAUUAGCUUGUUGGCGGGGUAACGGCCCACCAAGGCGACGAUCGGUAGGGGUUCUGAGAGGAAGGUCCCCCACAUUGGAACUGAGACACGGUCCAAACUCCUACGGGAGGCAGCAGUGAGGAAUAUUGGUCAAUGGGCGAUAGCCUGAACCAGCCAAGUAGCGUGCAGGAUGACGGCCUUAUAGGUUGUAAACUGCUUUUGUGCGAGGGUAAAGUGAGCCACGUGUGGCUUUUUGCAAGUAUUGCACGAAUAAGGACCGGCUAAUUCCGUGCCAGCAGCCGCGGUAAUACGGAAGGUCCGGGCGUUAUCCGGAUUUAUUGGGUUUAAAGGGAGCGUAGGCGGUAGGAUAAGUCAGCUGUGAAAUUGUGGCGCUCAACGUCGCGACUGCAGUUGAAACUGUUUUACUUGAGUGCGCACAGCGGCGCUGGAAUUCGUGGUGUAGCGGUGAAAUGCUUAGAUAUCACGAAGAACUCCGAUCGCGAAGGCAGGUGCCGGGGGCGCAACUGACGCUGAGGCUCGAAAGUGUGGGUAUCAAACAGGAUUAGAUACCCUGGUAGUCCACACAGUAAACGAUGGAUACUCGCUGUAUGCGAUAUAUUGUAUGCGGCCGAGCGAAAGUAUUAAGUAUCCCACCUGGGGAGUACGCCGGCAACGGUGAAACUCAAAGGAAUUGACGGGGGCCCGCACAAGCGGAGGA
RNAcentral lists this ribosomal RNA (936 nucleotides) under uncultured rumen bacterium. RNAcentral's name for it is "bacterial SSU rRNA". It matches the Rfam family "Bacterial small subunit ribosomal RNA", at positions 8 to 936 of the family's 1533-position model. The record is from RNAcentral.